AUACGAAGGGGGCUAGCGUUGUUCGGAAUAACUGGGCGUAAAGCGCACGUAGGCGGAAUGUUAAGUUAGAGGUGAAAUCCCAGGGCUCAACCCUGGAACUGCCUUUAAUACUGGCAAUCUAGAGACCGAGAGAGGUGAGUGGAAUUCCGAGUGUAGAGGUGAAAUUCGUAGAUAUUCGGAGGAACACCAGUGGCGAAGGCGGCUCACUGGCACGGUACUGACGCUGAGGUGCGAAAGCGUGGGGAGCAAACAGGAUUAGAAACCCUAGUAGUCC
This 274-nucleotide ribosomal RNA is filed under the name uncultured bacterium. Its description in RNAcentral is "partial 16S ribosomal RNA". It matches the Rfam family "Bacterial small subunit ribosomal RNA", at positions 523 to 796 of the family's 1533-position model. The record is from RNAcentral.